CAUGUUGGCACUGAUGGUGGAGUUGGGGUAUGGACUGGUGGAGGAGAAGAGUGAACGGGUGGUGGUGGUGAGUAGACUGAGGUUGGUGGUGGUGGAGAGUGGACUGGUGGUGGAGGAGAAUGAACUGGUGGUGGUGGUGAGGACAAAAGGGGUGGAGGAGGAGAAUGAACUGGUGGAGGUGGUGAUGACACAAUGAGUGGAGGGGAAUGAACUGGUGGAGGUGGAGAGUAGACUGGAGGAGGUGGUGAGGAAACAGGGGGUGGAGGAGAGUGAACUGGUGGUGGUGGUGGUGGAGAGUGGACAGGGGGUGGUGGAGAGUGGACUGUUGGUGGUGGAGAGAGGACUGAUGGUGUUGGAGAGUGGACAGGGGGUGAAGGAGAGUGGAUUGUUGGUGGUGGAGAGAGGACUGAUGGUGUUGGAGAGUGGACUGGUGGUGGAGGAGAGUGGACUGGUGGUAGUGGAGAGUGGACUGGUGGUGGAGGAGAGUUGACUGGUGGUGGCGGAGAGUGGACUGGUGGUGGCGGAGAGUGGACAGGUGGUGGAGGAGAGUGGACAGGUGGUGGAGGAGAGUGGACUGGUGGUGGUGGAGACUGAACUGGGGGUAGAGGAGACUGAACAACGGGUGGAGGAGACUGAACUGGGGGUAGAGGAGACUGAACUGAGGGUGAUGGAGACUGAACUGGAGGUGGUGGAGAGAGGACAUAUGUAGGAGGUGUUUGAACAAUUAUAGGAGGAGGUGACACUGGUGAAAGUGAUGGUGGGAUAUCUUCAACGGGUGGGAGAAAUGGAGAUGGGUUUGCCUUUGGUGCUGGAGGUGAUUCAAUUUUUGGGGUUGGUAUUAGCUCUGUCUCAGGUGUUGGUGGUGGCUCAGCCUUUGGUGUAGGUGAGGAAGGAGUUGGCUUUGGUGUUGAAGGGAAAUUAGCACCAUUGCCACCACCACAUU
This 943-nucleotide long non-coding RNA is filed under the name Lupinus angustifolius (narrow-leaved blue lupine). RNAcentral describes it as "long non-coding RNA (LANG_LNC001806)". Lineage: Eukaryota; Viridiplantae; Streptophyta; Magnoliopsida; Fabales; Fabaceae. The record is from RNAcentral.